GGGUAACGGGGAAUUAGGGUUCGAUUCCGGAGAGGGAGCCUGAGAAACGGCUACCACAUCCAAGGAUGGCAGCAGGCGCGCAAAUUACCCAAUCCCGACACGGGGAGGUUGUGACAAUAAAUAACAAUACGGGGUUCUUUCGGAUUUCGUAAUUGGAAUGAGUACAAUUUAAAUCUCUUAACGAGGAACAAUUGGAGGGCAAGUCUGGUGCCAGCAGCCGCGGUAAUUCCAGCUCCAAUAGCGUAUAUUAAAGUUGCUGCAGUUAAAAAGCUCGUAGUUGAAUUUCGGGACCAUCAUGUCGGUCGUGCCUCGGUACGUACUGGCAUUGUUGGUUUCUCCCUUCUGACGAACCAUGAUGUCAUUUAUUUGGUGUUGUGGGGAAUCAGGACUGUUACUUUGAAAAAAUUAGAGUGUUUAAAGCAGGCUCACGCUUGAAUACAUUAGCAUGGAAUAAUGAAAUAGGACGUUUGAUUCUAUUUUGUUGGUUUCUAGGUUCGACGUAAUGAUUAAUAAGGAUAGUUGGGGGCAUUAGUAUUCAAUUGUCAGAGGUGAAAUUCUUGGAUUUAUUGAAGACUAACUACUGCGAAAGCAUUUGCCAAGGAUGUUUUCAUUAAUCAAGAACGAAAGUUAGGGGAUCGAAGACGAUCAGAUACC
This 654-nucleotide ribosomal RNA is filed under the name uncultured Glomus. Its description in RNAcentral is "SSU rRNA". It matches the Rfam family "Eukaryotic small subunit ribosomal RNA", at positions 357 to 1016 of the family's 1831-position model. Lineage: Eukaryota; Fungi; Glomeromycota; Glomeromycetes; Glomerales; Glomeraceae. The record is from RNAcentral.